This 253-nucleotide ribosomal RNA is filed under the name uncultured bacterium. Its description in RNAcentral is "partial 16S ribosomal RNA". It matches the Rfam family "Bacterial small subunit ribosomal RNA", at positions 524 to 776 of the family's 1533-position model. The record is from RNAcentral.
UACGUAGGGUGCAAGCGUUGUCCGGAAUUAUUGGGCGUAAAGAGCUCGUAGGUGGUUUGUCGCGUUGUUCGUGAAAACUCACAGCUCAACUGUGGGCGUGCGGGCGAUACGGGCAGACUUGAGUACUGCAGGGGAGACUGGAAUUCCUGGUGUAGCGGUGGAAUGCGCAGAUAUCAGGAGGAACACCGGUGGCGAAGGCGGGUCUCUGGGCAGUAACUGACGCUGAGGAGCGAAAGCGUGGGGAGCAAACAGG